This is a long non-coding RNA of Phascolarctos cinereus (koala), 428 nucleotides long. RefSeq lists it as uncharacterized. Lineage: Eukaryota; Metazoa; Chordata; Mammalia; Diprotodontia; Phascolarctidae. The record is from RefSeq and is a predicted model, not a curated record.
UGCUGCUCUUGGAUGUCACUGCCCUCCCACCCCAGUGAGACAGAUCUUCCCUGCUGGGCUGGUCUUGACAACAAAUUCAAGAAGUGUUCAGUAACCACCAACGUAUGACUUACGUUCUAUAUAUCCUUCCAGAGAUAUGAUGUCAAGUUCCAAAGGUUUGCUAAAGUUGGCAACAUGGAUCUUCCUUCUCAGAGAUGGAAGCCAGAUGAUGAACCUGAAGAGGACUGAAGAAACAAGAUCUCUCUUCUCUUCUAUUCUUGCCAACUCAGUUCCAACUUGAAAGAUCUCUACCAAUGAGAGAGUCUCAUUCCAAUGGGCUUUGAGGUUUGGUUUACAUUCCUCCACUCGACCAAAAUUAUUUAUAUUCCCUUGCAAAAAAUCAUCUGGGACAAGUCUAAAAUGCAUAAUUAUAUAAUAAAGAAACAAAC